GCGAAUAAAGCUUAAUAGGUUUUGGAGCGUCAGAUUGUGAAUCUGAAGGUUGCGAGUUCAAAUCUCGUUAUUCGCCC
RNAcentral lists this transfer RNA (77 nucleotides) under Compsopogon caeruleus. Its description in RNAcentral is "tRNA-His". It matches the Rfam family "tRNA". Rfam says of the family: Transfer RNA (tRNA) molecules are approximately 80 nucleotides in length. Their secondary structure includes four short double-helical elements and three loops (D, anti-codon, and T loops). Further hydrogen bonds mediate the characteristic L-shaped molecular structure. tRNAs have two regions of fundamental functional importance: the anti-codon, which is responsible for specific mRNA codon recognition, and the 3' end, to which the tRNAs corresponding amino acid is attached (by aminoacyl-tRNA synthetases). tRNAs cope with the degeneracy of the genetic code in two manners: having more than one tRNA (with a specific anti-codon) for a particular amino acid; and 'wobble' base-pairing, i.e. permitting non-standard base-pairing at the 3rd anti-codon position. The record is from RNAcentral. Lineage: Eukaryota; Rhodophyta; Compsopogonophyceae; Compsopogonales; Compsopogonaceae.